AGAGUUUGAUCCUGGCUCAGGAUGAACGCUAGCGGCAGGCCUAAUACAUGCAAGUCGAACGGGAUUGAGAAGCUUGCUUUUCAUGAGAGUGGCGCACGGGUGCGUAACACGUAUGUAACCUACCUUAAUCUGGGGGAUAGCCUCUCGAAAGAGAGAUUAACACCGCAUAACAUCAUUUUAUAGCAUUUUAGAAUGAUCAAAUAUUUAUAGGAUUAAGAUGGGCAUGCGGAACAUUAGCUAGUUGGUAAGGUAAUGGCUUACCAAGGCUACGAUGUUUAGGGGAUCUGAGAGGAUGACCCCCCACACUGGUACUGAGACACGGACCAGACUCCUACGGGAGGCAGCAGUAAGGAAUAUUGGUCAAUGGGCGCAAGCCUGAACCAGCCAUGCCGCGUGCAGGAAGACGGCCCUACGGGUUGUAAACUGCUUUUGUACCGGAAUAAACUUUGAUACGUGUAUCAAGCUGAAUGUACGGAAGAAUA
This 482-nucleotide ribosomal RNA is filed under the name Mucilaginibacter sp. RX97. Its description in RNAcentral is "bacterial SSU rRNA". It matches the Rfam family "Bacterial small subunit ribosomal RNA", at positions 8 to 487 of the family's 1533-position model. Lineage: Bacteria; Pseudomonadati; Bacteroidota; Sphingobacteriia; Sphingobacteriales; Sphingobacteriaceae. The record is from RNAcentral.